RNAcentral lists this ribosomal RNA (253 nucleotides) under uncultured bacterium. RNAcentral's name for it is "partial 16S ribosomal RNA". It matches the Rfam family "Bacterial small subunit ribosomal RNA", at positions 524 to 776 of the family's 1533-position model. The record is from RNAcentral.
UACAGAGGGUGCAAGCGUUGUUCGGAAUUAUUGGGCGUAAAGGGCGCGUAGGCGGUGCGGUAAGUCUGCGGUGAAAUCUCCCGGCUCAACUGGGAGGCUGCCGUGGAAACUGCCGUGCUUGAGUGUGGGAGAGGUGAGUGGAAUUCCGAGUGUAGAGGUGAAAUUCGUAGAUAUUCGCAAGAACACCAGUGGCGAAGGCGGCUUACUGGUCCGGUUCUGACGCUGAGGCGCGAAAGCGUGGGGAGCAAACAGG